ACUAAAACCAGAAAUUGUUCAUGAGCGAAAAAAGGGAAUUAUUCAGAAAAUCUAGUCAUGUGUUUUAAAGAUGGCCAUAAUUUCUUUGACACUGUCCAUUGAAAGUUGUCCCCUCUCGCCCAUUGAAUUCAAAUAGGCUUAGUGACCCAUUUGUAACCCAUAGAAUGUGGCAGAAGUGAAACUGUGUGGCUUCCAAGGCUAGGUCAGAAAGGAUGAUGCAACAUCCGCCUUGUCCCCUUGUCCACUGGAGCAUUUACUUUUUGAGCCCCAAGCUGUGAUGUGAGAAGUCUAACCACCUGAAGGCCACCAUGCUGUGAGGAAGCCCAAGCCACAUGGAGAGAGACCACAUGUAGACAGUCUUGCCUACAGUCCUAGCUUAGCCUAGCCCUGAGUCAUCCCAGCUCAGGUGACAGAUGAAGAUCUGUCAAUGAAGAUGCCUUCACCCCUGAGAUGACUGUGGCCCCAGAUGUUUGUGUCAGUGUUCCAGUCUUCCCACCUGGCCUCCAGGUGUCAAAAAACAGAAAGAAUCCAUCCCAGCUUUACCACUGUUGAAUUCAUGUCCAACAGCAUCCAUGAGGCUGAUACUGAUUUUUUUCAUUGCUAAGCAUGGGUUUCGGUUUUGUUUCAUUUUGCUUUGUUUUCAUGCAGAAAUAGAUGACUGGUACAUUGUGUAAUUUGAACUUAUAGGAUAAAUACUUCAGGAGAUGAUAUGUUGUAAAUAUGUUACCCUGAAACUGCAUUUUAUUUCUGAGUCAGAAUACUCAAUGCUUGUGGGUCUUGUUUCAUAGCA
This 790-nucleotide long non-coding RNA is filed under the name Pan troglodytes (chimpanzee). Its description in RNAcentral is "long non-coding RNA NONPTRT001602". The record is from RNAcentral. Lineage: Eukaryota; Metazoa; Chordata; Mammalia; Primates; Hominidae.